Long non-coding RNA from Triplophysa dalaica, 1900 nucleotides. RefSeq lists it as uncharacterized. NCBI's taxonomy places the organism in Eukaryota, Metazoa, Chordata, Actinopteri, Cypriniformes, Nemacheilidae. The record is from RefSeq and is a predicted model, not a curated record. The transcript has 3 exons.
AGUGGAUCUUCGGGGGCUCCUCUUCUCACUGGUUCGUGGGUGAGACAGUGGCUUUCUUCGUCUCCUCGGAUGUGCUCGUGAGACAGGCAGACGACAGUGCUCAGACUCGGCUGGUGUGUACGUUCACAGAACAGUCGGUGGGAGGACAGCAGCUUCACCUCUUCUCCGAGGGACAGACAAUGACGAUGCUCGGGCUCGGCUUGCGUGUGUGUUCGUAGAACAGUCGGAGGGAGGACAGCAGCUUCACCUCUUCUCCGAGGGACAGACAAUGACGGUGCUCGGGCUCGGCUUACGUGUGUGUUUGUUCGUAGAACAGUCGGUGGGAGGACAGCAGCUUCACCUCUUCUCCGAGGGACAGACAAUGACGGCGCUCGAGCUCGGCUUACGUGUGUGUUUGUUCGUAGAACAGUCGGUGGGAGGACAGCAGCUUCACCUCUUCUCCGAGGGACAGACAAUGACGGUGCUCGGGCUCGGCUUACGUGUGUGUUCGUAGAACAGUCGGUGGGAGGACAGCAGCUUCACCUCUUCUCCGAGGGACAGACAAUGACGGUGCUCGGCCUCGGCUUACGUGUGUGUUUGUUCGUAGAACAGUCGGUGGGAGGACAGCAGCUUCACCUCUUCUCCGAGGGACAGACAAUGACGGCGCUCGAGCUCGGCUUGAGUCUCUCGCCACACCGGGCACAAAGGAAAACCUGGACACAGCUUUAGACAGAUCAAUUUAAAGGGAUCUUCAUAUUCAGACGUCAAUUUUCAUUCAUCUCAGUUUCGGAGGAAACAGUCGUUAGACCUCACCACACUCGUGCAUAAAUCACUCUUAGAAAUCCUCACACGUGUACAUUUCACUCUCUCAGACACUGCAAACUCACUUCAUCUCCACAGUGAUUAAUCAACCCGUUUCUCUUCUCGCUGUAGGGUGAAUGACUCCAAGAAUGGCGGUUUCAGAAGAUUGACGUGAACACAUCAGAGAUCCUCCCAGCUGUUCCAAUUACUAUGUUUCGCUCUAUCAACAGGAUAACACACACUGCCCGCAACACAGGUUGCAGCUAAUAUUAAUGGAUCAUUCUAUUCAGGAGAAAGUAGACUGGAACUUGGAUGUCCUGAUACCAAGCUUAAAGACGAACAAAUUGAUAAAGAAACCCUCCUGCUGGACAUCCACUUCCAAAAGUGCACGCCACACUGUUGUCUACAAACUCCCAGGAAAAGAAUCCUCUUCAGUACGACUGCUCCGUGGAUAUGUCAGGUUAAGCAGUACUGGAACCGAAAGAACUAAGACUUUAAAAAAAAAAAAAAUAUGAAGUUUAUAUGAGGAAAGUUCUCGGACUAAUACAUUUCUGCAAAUGUCAACCAAUACCAUGAAAAAAGUUUUUACCAAAGGUUUUACUGUACUAACUGCACCUUAUCAACAAGUGGUGGUUCAAAUACCUGUGUGAGGUCUCUCUUCAAGUUGAGGUAUUAUUGCUUCAGGUUUGUACAUUUUAGUUCACAGAAAUCCUACAAAGUUUGUUGCCUUCCGAAUACGGUGUCCCUUUUUCACAUCCAUAACGCUUGUUUAUUUCCUUUCUUUAAAAUAGAAAUCUUGUGUAUAGAUUGAUAUUUUAUCAUAUUAGUGCAGUUCUAUCAACAAGGGUUUAGUAAAAUAAAAAUAAAUAGUUCAGUAUAUUGGUAACAAAUACCUUCUCUGAGUGUUUUUGCACAUCUAUAAUGCUGGAAUUGUCCUAAAGCAUUUUACUCGUGCCACUUUUUUAACUGUAUUUUGUAAAAAGUUAUGAUUUUUUGAAGUGGAAAGUUGUCUAACUAUUUCUGUUUAUUGGCGCCACUUUAUGCAUAUGUUAAAAUCUAAACUAAUGUAAUUUAUUGAUGUUUAUUUUUUUUAAUAUGUAUCAACAUUAAUUAAGUUACA